RNAcentral lists this ribosomal RNA (253 nucleotides) under uncultured bacterium. RNAcentral describes it as "partial 16S ribosomal RNA". It matches the Rfam family "Bacterial small subunit ribosomal RNA", at positions 524 to 777 of the family's 1533-position model. The record is from RNAcentral.
UACGUAGGGGGCAAGCGUUGUCCGGAUUUAUUGGCGUAAAGAGCGUGUAGGCGGCCAUUCAGGUCAGCUGUGAAAACUCGAGGCUCAACCUCGAGACGUCGGUUGAAACCGUUUGGCUAGAGUCCGGAAGAGGAGAGUGGAAUUCCCGGUGUAGCGGUGAAAUGCGCAGAUAUCGGGAAGAACACCCGUGGCGAAGGCGGCUCUCUGGGACGGUACUGACGCUGAGACGCGAAAGCGUGGGGAGCGAACGAGG